Molecule: ribosomal RNA, 472 nt
Filed under: uncultured bacterium
Lineage: Bacteria
Description: partial 16S ribosomal RNA
Rfam family: Bacterial small subunit ribosomal RNA
Source: RNAcentral
GACGAACGCUGGCGGCGUGCUUAACACAUGCAAGUCGAACGCUGAAGCUUGGUGCUUGCACUGGGUGGAUGAGUGGCGAACGGGUGAGUAAUACGUGAGUAACCUGCCCUUGACUCUGGGAUAAGCCUGGGAAACUGGGUCUAAUACUGGAUACGACAUGUCACCGCAUGGUGGUGUGUGGAAAGGGUUUUACUGGUUUUGGAUGGGCUCACGGCCUAUCAGCUUGUUGGUGGGGUAAUGGCUCACCAAGGCGACGACGGGUAGCCGGCCUGAGAGGGUGACCGGCCACACUGGGACUGAGACACGGCCCAGACUCCUACGGGAGGCAGCAGUGGGGAAUAUUGCACAAUGGGCGGAAGCCUGAUGCAGCGACGCCGGGUGAGGGAUGACGGCCUUCGGGUUUUAAACCUCUUUCAGCACGGAAGAAGCGAAAGUGACGGUACGUGCAGAAGAAGCGCCGGCUAACUACGUG